CUCCUCACUGUGGCGCUUCUACAGUAAUUAAACUGGCAUCAAAUGACAAGAUAACAAACCGAUAAACCUCAAUCAAAGGCAUGUCUCUACCCUAGUUUGGAUCAGAAAGUUUCCCAUUUGUCUCCGUCUGAGAAAAUCUGGCAUAAACAAAUGGACUUCUUUUCUCCCCUCUUCAUUUGGGGAGAAAAACACCACCAUGUGAUGCAGCCCGAAGGCUGCAACUUUCUAGAAAGAAAGGCAAGCAAACAGUUGUUCCUGAAGAGUCUGUCUGACUACAGAACUGGGGCCACACCAAGCCACGGGCAGCCAACUGCGUGCCUUAAAUUUACAGCUGCUUUUCAGUCCUCAAAGAGGCAAAAGGGUGUCUGGGACCCGACAAAAGGAAGUACAGCUGCUGCAGCUGGAGACGGGGAGCGGGGAAGUGGUGAAGAAACACAGAGACAUUGCUGCAAGUUUUUAUGCUGACUGUACUUCUGCCUGACAGCUCCUCAAAAAGGCGAGGUUAUCUGACCAUCAAGAAUGGCCGGGCUAUGGGUCAGGCAAACAAAAUGCCCCCAUCUCUCUUCUGAGGAAGUGGGGAUGCGACUGGGUGGCAGAGCAGGCAGGAAGCAAGGUAUCAACUGGAAAACUAACAGGAAUGAAAACCUAAAAUUUUACUACAAAAACAUGAAAACCUGGAGAGGAUGAAAAAAAAAAAAAGCACAACUUUCUGUGAAAAUGUUUUAAUAGGUUACCUUUAUGUGGAUGACUCUCCACUCUCGCCUAGACUGACUCACUCUGUGAGCUGCCUCACGGUCCGUCUGGCUGCCAACCCCUGGUUAAACUUGAACAUCUUGUGACUGAAAUGAAUGCAUCAAAGGCUGAAGUGCCGCAAGAGCCUGGAAAAAAACAGUAGACUCAGUCUUCACCUCACCCUGAUUUUACGGAGCGGACAGAAGCCCCUUCAUUUACAAAGCAUCGUUGCACCAGCAGCACCAUUUGUGCUGUCCCCUCGGUGGUCUCCAGCCCUCCUUGCACCCCAAAUUGCCACUCUGGGUAAGGAUGCUCGGCCACAGCCUGCAUCCCGUGUGCCCCCCUCCUCAGCUUGGGUAGCUCCCACCUUUGAGUGCACCCCUCACCGGGAAGAGGCUUGCAGAGCAAACACAAAAGAGAGUGUGGGGGAAAAACGCACAGCUUCUGUUUGCAAUUUUUUGUUGCUUUGGGUAGAAAAUUUUGUUGUCAGCUAUGUAAACAAUUCUCAGAUCCUGGAAGACACAAUUGCUGCAGAUGAAUGUGAGCGGAAAACCACUCUAACAGCAUCUCUUACAGAAAGCAGACCUGCACCACUAGAUUCUGUACGUCUGUCCACUGCCUGUCUUGCAGGCUAUUUACAACUGUAG
Molecule: long non-coding RNA, 1379 nt
Filed under: Anas platyrhynchos (mallard)
Lineage: Eukaryota; Metazoa; Chordata; Aves; Anseriformes; Anatidae
Description: lncRNA (ENSAPLG00020008193.1)
Source: RNAcentral